UAAGGUAGAGGCGCGAUUUUUAUUAGUAAUAAUAAGGAGUAAAGCAACGUUGAAUUAUUGUGAAAGGAAACAUCGCCGAAGUGUAUAACUGAAGCUUUAAAGUUAUUUCGCUGGGGGUAUGUAGAACAUAUAUGCCACUGUCACUAAGAAAUUAGUGUUGAGCUAUCA
This 168-nucleotide non-coding RNA is filed under the name uncultured Terrisporobacter sp. RNAcentral's name for it is "Lysine riboswitch". It matches the Rfam family "Lysine riboswitch aptamer". From Rfam's summary of the family: Riboswitches are metabolite binding domains within certain messenger RNAs that serve as precision sensors for their corresponding targets. Allosteric rearrangement of mRNA structure is mediated by ligand binding, and this results in modulation of gene expression. Lineage: Bacteria; Bacillati; Bacillota; Clostridia; Peptostreptococcales; Peptostreptococcaceae. The record is from RNAcentral.